CAAAUUAGAGCUUGAAAUUAAAGUAUUUCAUUUACAUUGAAAAGAUAUUAAUAUAUAAAUAAUUAAUUUGA
Molecule: transfer RNA, 71 nt
Filed under: Prismosticta regalis
Lineage: Eukaryota; Metazoa; Arthropoda; Insecta; Lepidoptera; Endromidae
Description: tRNA-Val
Source: RNAcentral